GCAUAGACAAGUGAGCAGUGGGAAGAGACUUGUUCCCUCCCGAGGCCUAGCGCCGUAUAAAUGCCCCCCACCUCUCCCCAAUGGGUCACAGAGGACCUCUGAGGGUUAGGAGUAAGGGGAGAGACCCGAUAGCAUAUAAAUGACAGCGCAAGUGACGUGUUACCUGCGCUGGUGAUCCUGGCGGAGGGGACUGUGGGUCACCGCUCACAUCCACACCUGGAAUGGGCCAGUACUGCCUCCAAGCCAGAUACGCCACUGUCCGCGGAGUGCCUCCCACAGAUCAGCAAGUUCUGCACCGCCCCCACCGAGCGCCCCCAGAAACCAAAUGAGGAAACCAAGAUGGUGCUGAAUACCAUGGAGACCCAAGACUCAACAGGAUGAUAAGAAGAAAAAGCCAAGGGUUUAUCACUGGACCAGCCACCUCUAUCACAUCUUCCAGGGCUCAGGAAACA
Long non-coding RNA from Jaculus jaculus (lesser Egyptian jerboa), 452 nucleotides. RefSeq lists it as uncharacterized. The transcript has 3 exons. NCBI's taxonomy places the organism in Eukaryota, Metazoa, Chordata, Mammalia, Rodentia, Dipodidae. The record is from RefSeq and is a predicted model, not a curated record.